This 77-nucleotide transfer RNA is filed under the name Devosia sp. RNAcentral's name for it is "tRNA-Lys". It matches the Rfam family "tRNA". From Rfam's summary of the family: Transfer RNA (tRNA) molecules are approximately 80 nucleotides in length. Their secondary structure includes four short double-helical elements and three loops (D, anti-codon, and T loops). RNAcentral also lists the same sequence under 3 other names. The record is from RNAcentral. Lineage: Bacteria; Pseudomonadati; Pseudomonadota; Alphaproteobacteria; Hyphomicrobiales; Devosiaceae.
GCGCCCCUAGCUCAGCCGGUUAGAGCACCUGACUUUUAAUCAGGGGGUCCUGGGUUCGAGUCCCAGGGGGCGUACCA